RNAcentral lists this ribosomal RNA (253 nucleotides) under uncultured bacterium. RNAcentral describes it as "partial 16S ribosomal RNA". It matches the Rfam family "Bacterial small subunit ribosomal RNA", at positions 524 to 776 of the family's 1533-position model. The record is from RNAcentral.
UACGUAGGGCGCAAGCGUUGUCCGGAUUCACUGGGUGUAAAGGGUGCGCAGGCGGGGAAGUAAGUUAGAGGUGAAAUCUCACAGCUCAACUGUGAAACUGCCUUUGAUACUGCUUUUCUUGAGUUAGGGAGAGGUUGAUGGAAUUCCAGGUGUAGCGGUGAAAUGCGUAGAUAUCUGGAAGAACACCGGUGGCGAAGGCGGUCAACUGGCCCUAAACUGACGCUCAGGCACGAAAGCGUGGGGAGCGAACAGG